This 324-nucleotide ribosomal RNA is filed under the name Bothynoderes declivis. RNAcentral's name for it is "partial 28S ribosomal RNA". Lineage: Eukaryota; Metazoa; Arthropoda; Insecta; Coleoptera; Curculionidae. The record is from RNAcentral.
CGCGCGUUUUCCGCACCUCCCGUUCGUCGAACCGGUGUCGAACGCGUGCACUUUUCUUCUGGUAGGACGUCGCGAUCCGUUGGGUGUCGGUCUACGGCUCGCGGUGGAGCCCGUUCGUCGUAUUUUAUCGUACGUACGGACGGACCCGCGUGUCCCGGCUGACUCGCUCGACGGUAUACGAAAGGUUUAAGGCCGCUCUAGGAGCGUUCGGCUCGCGGCAAGCGCGCCAGAUUCGCGUCGGCGAUCGGACCUAGUGCCGAUUCUGACCUCUGGUGACUGUUGGCCGCGAAGUUCUCGAACAGACCUUAUAACCGAUCUGCGACG